AUCCUGGCUGCGUUGGGCGCAACCGGCAGCGGCGGUGUCGUGGUCGGGAUGUGGUGAAAAACCAGAAAGUCUCACGCAAGAGACACUAUGUCAUACGGAUGGGGGAGCGCCAGCAACACGACUCGUUUCUUCUAGACAACACGACAUGUUAGCCUAGCUAGCGUGCUGACAAGUAAUUUUUUUUUGUUUUUAAUAGUUUAGAACUUUUACAU
RNAcentral lists this long non-coding RNA (212 nucleotides) under Hordeum vulgare. Its description in RNAcentral is "long non-coding RNA (HVUL_LNC005310)". Lineage: Eukaryota; Viridiplantae; Streptophyta; Magnoliopsida; Poales; Poaceae. The record is from RNAcentral.